GAAGAUCAUGGUUAGGGUGAUCUAUUUGCAGAUGGGAAGCACCAGAUGAGCCAUUGAGUUUGACCUGAGCAACCUCUUCUGCUGGAAGGUGGUGUGCUAAGGCAGUGUAAAGAAUUGCACUGUGAAUUAAAGACAGGCUUUGACUAGGCAUAAUGUCAGAAAAACAGGGAGAUUACUGUGUGAGGGACACCAGUGUACCACAGCAGGAACAGAAACAAGUUAAUUCUCACAGUAGUUCUCCUCCUGGACAGAAGUGAAGUUCCCACCAGCGCAAAGUGGUUUUCGGUAUCAGGUCUGCAAAUCAUUUUAUCACAGGACAUCCUAUUGAAAGUUCUUUGAUGAGUGAUGAGAAUCCCACAGUACAACAUAAACCCUUUAGACACUGAAGUUAGACAAAGAAACCAAACUCUGCCACACUGUUACUCAUUCUACAGUCAAAGGGUUUCUUCAGAUCUGCAGCUCACAAAGUCAGGAAGCUCUUGGUCUCCAUGUGCUCUUCAUUAAUUCUUUAGUUAAAACUAGCAGGAGGCUGACAGCUGAAUGUGCACAGAUAAGCAGUACUCUGAGGAAGGACCAAAGAAGGCCCAGAUAUGCUUCUGCCUGAAGGCAGUGACAUAUAUUUUGUGCUGAAAAUGGUUGGCAAUGUGUUUGAUUUUCUUCCUGCUGAAGCUGAUGAAUUCUGUCCCUGUCCUCACUGAGCGCAGGGUGCCUGGCAGGCAGUUGUUGAAUACCAAAAGCCUUUGCUCAUACAGACUGGCCAGGAAGCCUUCUGCCAGCUGCACAAUCACCUCUCUGUGGUGCUCUGUUCCCAAAAGAAGACUGUGGGACUUGGUGGGUGCUCAGA
Molecule: long non-coding RNA, 844 nt
Organism: Cyanistes caeruleus (blue tit)
Lineage: Eukaryota; Metazoa; Chordata; Aves; Passeriformes; Paridae
Source: RefSeq, a predicted model, not a curated record